Molecule: long non-coding RNA, 509 nt
Organism: Oncorhynchus tshawytscha (Chinook salmon)
Lineage: Eukaryota; Metazoa; Chordata; Actinopteri; Salmoniformes; Salmonidae
Source: Ensembl
CUUCGUACAUCAGCUGAUAUCUCAAAGUGCUGUACAGAAACCCAGCCUAAAACCCCAAACAGCAAGCAAUGCAGGUGUAGAAGCACGGUGGCUAGGAAAAACUCCCUAGAAAGGCCAAAACCUAGGAAGAAACCUAGAGAGGUACCAGGCUAUGUGGGGUGGCCAGUCCUCUUCUGGCUGUGCCGGGUGGAGAUUAUAACAGAACAUGGCCAAGAUGUUCAAAUGUUCAUAAAUGACCAGCAUGGUCGAAUAAUAAUAAGGCAGAACAGUUGAAACUGGAGCAGCAGCACAGUCAGGUGGAAGUUGAAACUGGAGCAGCAGCAUGGCCAGGUGGACUGGGGACAGCAAGGAGUCAUCAUGUCAGGUAGUCCUGGAGCUCAGGUCCUAGGGCUCAGGUCCUCCGAGAGAGAGAAAGAAAGAGAGAAGGAGAGAAUUAGAGAACGCACACUUAGAUUCACACAGGACACCGAAUAGGACAGGAGAAGUUCUCCAGAUAUAACAAACUGACC